RNAcentral lists this unclassified non-coding RNA (377 nucleotides) under Hevea brasiliensis (rubber tree). Lineage: Eukaryota; Viridiplantae; Streptophyta; Magnoliopsida; Malpighiales; Euphorbiaceae. The record is from RNAcentral.
UUUGUGUGUGUGCCUUAGAUUUGCAUGCUUGUUAUAACUUCAAUUUAUCUAGCGUUGAUGUUGUGUCCAUCUUUGCCUCUUGCUUAGACAUUGUUGUUGCAUCUGCAUUUCUCUUUAUAUCAGCAUCUUUUGCUUCCUUUCCUACCUCCAUUCUUUCAAUUUUCAACAGUACAUUAUUUUUUGUGGUGCAAAAAAUACCACUUUAUUCCUUUUAUAGAUCAAAAUAACUUUUUUUUGUCUUAAUCAGAAUUGCAUUGUUCUACGAUCUAUACUAUGGAUAGGAAGACAUCCAUAUUUUAGAUCAAUACUGAUCCUGCUUUCCAGCAUGCCAUUCAUUGUUCUUUUCAAUUUUCCUUUAAAUAUCAUUUAAUAAAAUA